UAUUAACGGCCGCAGUACCUUGACUGUGCAAAGGUAGCAUAAUAAUUUGACUUUUAAAUGGAGCCUAGAAUGAAAGAAAGAACGUAUGCAACUUGUCUCAUUGAUAUUACUUUAAAUUUAAUGGUUGAGUGAAAAUACUCAUAAUUUAAUAAUAGACGAGAAGACCCUUAGAAUUUUUAAAAGCAAUAACUAAUUCUUAUUAGAUUUUUUGUUGGGGCAACAAUAUUUCAAAUAAUAAAUAUAUUAAUGAAAGUAAUAAGUCGAAUAAAUAAUUAUAGAAAAAUUACUCUAGGGAUAACAGCAUAAUUUAUUAAUAAGCUUGUGACCUCGAUGUUGGACUAGGUUGU
RNAcentral lists this ribosomal RNA (347 nucleotides) under Albinaria caerulea. Its description in RNAcentral is "partial 16S ribosomal RNA". Lineage: Eukaryota; Metazoa; Mollusca; Gastropoda; Stylommatophora; Clausiliidae. The record is from RNAcentral.